GACCCUCCAAGAAAGCAGAAAAGGAGGUUCCUGAUGCAAAACCUAAAGAGCUUUCAUCUGAGGAAGAUUUUCUGCAAACUAGGAAUAGAAGCAAGCUUCUUAACCUGAUGUAUCGCACCUUCAAAAAGCCUACAGCAAACAUCUUACUUAGUGAUGAAAAACUGAUUGCCUUCCCCAUAAGAUUGAGAACCAGGAACUGUCCAGGAAGACCCUGCAGUCUCUCUGCAGGCUCAUGGGAGCUCCCAGAACUGAGACAACACACGGAUCCAGGCCUGCUUCGAAGUCAGUGGGAUGCGGCCCUUGAAAGUCGAUGUAUUGGGUUCCUAGGGCUCUCGUGAAAACAUGCCACACCUGGCUGGUUUUAAACAACAGGAGUUUAUUCUGUCAGUUGAGAAGGCUACAAGUGCAAAAUCAAGGUAUUGACGGGAUGAGUUCCAACUAGAGGCUGUGAGGCAGAUCAACUCCAUGGCUCUCUCCUGGCUUCUGCUGGUUUCUGGCAACCGUUCACUUCCCAUGCCUGGUAGACACAUCACUCUAACCUCUGCCUCCCUUUUUCAUGGGCACAUUCGCGCCUGUGUGUGUGUGUGUGUGGAUGUGUGUGUUAAGGACAGCAAUCAUUAGACUAGAUGGGGCCCACUCUAAUCCACUGUGAGCUUCUCUUACUUUGGUAACAUCUGCAAAGACCCUAUUUCCAAACAAGGUCACAUUCCAUGUUCUGGGACUGUCUUCUGAGAGAUGUCUCCCCCAGGAUCCUUCCAGGUGGAAGGAUGCCCUUUGACCUGCAAAGCCAGGCAGAAAACCAGGAUCAGGGCAGGACAAGAGGAUGCUAGCCUGUGAUGGCUCCCACUCAGGUGGGAUGUGAGAAGUGCCUGUGGCCUGGGACACACCAACUUGCUCCCGUUACCUCAUCUGAGAUGGACUGCACAGUGUAUGUCCAGGGCCCAACCCGGUACACUGUGCCUUUGCAAUGCUGUCUCUGUGCUUUGGAAAUUCACUCAGCCCACUGCGUGGGGUGGUCUGAGGCGGGCCACAACCAUUUCUCAACCAUCCCUGAGUACCUGACCAGUAUCCCUCGGGGGUGACGACGACCGCCUACAUCUGGAGCAUGAGGAGCGUGUUUACCUGGUGAGUAAGGAUGCAAGCAUAGGACGUCCUGGCCGAUCCUCUGCACAAGCAAUGCCUUUGCUCCAACGGGAUGGGCAACGUUGGAUUAGGCCUGAGGCAGAUUUGAUCUCGGAAGAUACAUUCGAGUCUAUGUGUUUUGUGCAUUUAUUUUUGUUUCCUUGAAUUAACAUGGAGUCCAUUUCAACUUUCA
This 1315-nucleotide long non-coding RNA is filed under the name Homo sapiens (human). Its description in RNAcentral is "long intergenic non-protein coding RNA 2367". Lineage: Eukaryota; Metazoa; Chordata; Mammalia; Primates; Hominidae. The record is from RNAcentral.